Molecule: ribosomal RNA, 67 nt
Filed under: Dwayaangam colodena
Lineage: Eukaryota; Fungi; Ascomycota
Description: partial 28S ribosomal RNA
Source: RNAcentral
AACCCCCAAUUUUUUUAAGGUUGACCUCGGAUCAGGUAGGGAUACCCGCUGAACUUAAGCAUAUCAA